This 66-nucleotide small nuclear RNA is filed under the name Mus musculus (house mouse). Its description in RNAcentral is "U7 small nuclear RNA". It matches the Rfam family "U7 small nuclear RNA". Rfam says of the family: Animal histone pre-mRNAs are spliced by a different mechanism than nuclear pre-mRNAs and self-splicing introns. This processing involves the U7 snRNP, which contains only one RNA species: U7. Lineage: Eukaryota; Metazoa; Chordata; Mammalia; Rodentia; Muridae. The record is from Rfam by way of RNAcentral. RNAcentral also lists the same sequence under 1 other name.
AGCUGUUACAACUCUUUUAGAAUUAUUUUUUCUAGCAGAUCCUCUGUCUUUGGUCAGAGAACCCAA